GGGGGGCAAGCGUUGUUCGGAAUUACUGGGCGUAAAGGGCUCGUAGGCGGCCAACUAAGUCAUACGUGAAAUCCCUCGGCUUAACCGGGGAACUGCGUCUGAUACUGGAUGGCUUGAGUUCGGGAGAGGGAUGCGGAAUUCCAGGUGUAGCGGUGAAAUGCGUAGAUAUCUGGAGGAACACCGGUGGCGAAGGCGGCAUCCUGGACCGAUACUGACGCUGAGGAGCGAAAGCCAGGGGAGCAAACGGG
This 248-nucleotide ribosomal RNA is filed under the name uncultured bacterium. RNAcentral describes it as "partial 16S ribosomal RNA". It matches the Rfam family "Bacterial small subunit ribosomal RNA", at positions 529 to 776 of the family's 1533-position model. The record is from RNAcentral.